ACAACUGUUUGCUCCUUUCUCUGUUAUACUAGCAGUCUCCAUUUUCAUGUCUGUUUCUCCCAUGAGAAAGAGCACCUUGAGGACAGGAAUUGAGCUUUGGUUGCUUUUGUGACUCAGCACGUGGCACAGCACCAGGCAUAUUGUACGUGCUCAGUACAUAUUUGAGGGAUGAGGCUAUGCGUCUCCAUAAUUAUAGACUUGUGCAUUUUAAUAAUAUAGCUACUGGAAACAACCCCACAAAAUAACAAACACCCAAAGGACCCAUCAUAAGCCUAGCCAGGAGUCACUGAGAAAAUAAUAAUCAUAUUGAGCCCCCUGAUUUCCUCAUAGCUGACUGGACUCCCUGGGCAGGCUUUAUUCACCUGUCCAGGGUCUCUCUGUGGGAGCUGGCUCAGACCUGUGGAGGACCCUCUGACCCUGCUCAGUUGCUCUGUGAGCCCAAGAAUGGGCUCUUGAAUAUUCCAGACAGAAUGGGUGAAAACCAGAGACCUCUGAGAUGUCUUGGACUCUAGCUCAGGGUGACGCUGGGGUCUCCAAGGCCACUCAAAAUGAGAAUAUGGCAAGGCUUGGGACCCUACUGUAGCCCAGAGUCAAUAAAUUUCCCAAAUUCUGGGAAAUGUGUUCAUUCAUUUAUUCAUACAGAUAUAUUUAUGCAAUUUGUCAGGUUCAAUGAUAAACAAAAGCAGAGAUGGUCCUUGAUUUUGCAGAGCUUACAAGCUAGUGAGAAAAUAGGCAUAAUCAAAUGAAUGAACUAUUACAAACUGAUAUAUGAAAGCAUUAAAAAAUACCCAAACUUGAACUUGUCAGGACAUCCCAAGAUGCUCUUGAGGAAUUAAUGUGUAAACUUUGAUCUAAAAGAUGAGUAGGAGUUAAACAGGUGUUGAGGAGGUGGGAAGGGUGUUCCAUGGGGAAGGAAUAAUAUGUGCAAAAGCCCUGGGGUCAGAGGCACCUGGUAUAUUUAAAUAGCUGGAAAAAGACGUAUUUGACAGGAACACGGAAAAUGAGGGGUAUGGCAGAGGAGCUGAGAAGGGCAGCCAGACUGGGCAGGGUCUUAGACGCCUUUUCAGGAUUUUGGUCUUUUGCCUAUAAGCAAUGGAAAGUUGCUGAAGAAUUUUUAAUCAGGGAUAUGAAAUAAUCGUAUUUGUAUUUUGAAAACAACACUCUGGCUGCUUUGGAGAGCACAUGUUGGAAGGUUCUAGAAGCCGGAUAGCUUAUUUAAAAAGAUAUACAGAUAAUUCAAAGAAGAAAAUAGUGGUUUAAACCAGGGUGGUGGUAGUGGAUGAUGGAGAACGUGGAUGGGCCUGAGAUGAUGGUAUUAUUCACCGAGAUAGGAAACCUUAGAAAAGGACACUACUUGCAGGGAAGAUCUUGAUUUCAGUCUUGGGGCUGAGUUAAAGUACCUUUGAGACAUCUAAGUAGAAAUGUUGCUUAGGCAGACACACAGAUAUUAAUUCACGUAUUCAACACAUAUUUAUUGACUACCUGCUGCAUGUUAGUCACUCUAUUAAGAACUGUAUGUUACAGGAAAAUAUAUUGAAGUUGGAUUCUUCUCUCAGGAGCUUAGAAUUUAUUAGACAGUCAUGAGGAAUGGUUGGACCUGAUAGCUAUCUUCAAAUAUUUGAAUACAUGAAGGUAAACUUACUCUGUGUUGCUCCGGAAGGCAUAACAAGGACAAAAAUAGGAAGUUAUGGGGAGGCAGAUUUUGAUUUGGUAUAGGAAAUGAUUUUUUUAAAUAAGAACUGUCAUUGAAAAUAUUUGAAUUGAGUCUGGAUGAUAAUUUAUUCAAUCAAUAUUUAAUGAACAUGUAAAUUGAAUGGAGAGAUUCCUGCUUGACCUUUAAGAUCCUUUUGGCUUUCAAAUUCAAUGAUUCUAAUUUUCUGUUUAAAAUCUUAAUUGUUCAUAAUGAAGGUCACGACUCAAAUUUCCUUGAAUCCAUUUCCUAAUUUGGCCUCUACCUAUACAAUCCCUGUGAACUUUCAAGGUGGCAUAAUGAGUCCCUUCGUGAGGCCAUGGAACCUUCAGAAUGUACAAUGUGUUGUAUGAUAGAAUAACAUUCUCUUAGAAGGCUGUCUGUGGCCUGCUCUGGUGCAGACAAAGAGGCAUGCUUACAUGGUUUUAGAUCCCCUUCUUUUGUCUUGCCUCCCACUCAUAGCUACAGUUCCACAAUGUUGGAUGAUCUGUUUCAAGUGCAGCCCAUUGAUGGCACUGUCCUGGACAGAGGGUUCCUCCUCCUUGCUGCCUUUGGCCAUCAGCUUGACCUUGAGUUGAAGGUAUGUGGUACAAGAUGCUGGGUUUCAUCAGACAAUCCAUGAUGGUGCAGUAAAAAGUAUAUCGACUCAAUAAAUAUUAAUUCAUUUUCUAAUUUGCUUAUGAUGAAUGAGAAUGGUCAUACCUAGAAUUUAUGUAAUACUUUCUUCCAAGAAGCAUACAAGGACACAAUAUUACCCCGAUAAGAAUAUUUAUGAUAUUAGUAACACAAAUAAUCUAAACCUGAUUUGGAGAUGACUGAUUGCUCAUCAGCGAGUCCCACACCUUGCUGCACAUUAGAGUCCUUCAAGAGAUUUUUUACAAAUAAUAGAUUCUUUGGUGGCAUUUGGGAAAAAUUAACUUAUAUUUUUACACCUCCAUUAUUGAACUUACAUUUUCGAUAAUGAUGGAUUUCCUAGACCAAUGCUUCUCAAAUCCUAACAUACAUAUAACUCACCUGGGGACUCUCGUUAAAAUGCAGAUUCUGAUUCAGUAGAUCUGGGGUGAUGCAUGAGAUUCUGCAUUCUGAAAAACUUCCAGAUGAUGCUGAUGCUGUUGGUAUAGACCACACUUGUAUAGCAAGGCCUUAAACCAGUGGUUUUCAACCCCAGGGGGAGGAAAGGGCAGGAGAAGGGGAAAGAGUUUGGAUUAUUAAUACCUAGGAAGCCAGAGCUCCAGGCCCACACCAGUUCAAUAAAAAUCUCUGAGGAUAUAUCCCAGACUUUAGUAUUUUUAAAGAAUUUCCCCCAGAAAAUUCAAAUAUGCAUAUAGAAUUGAGAACUAUUUUCUAGAGAUGCCUUGACUGCAUCUAACAUCCAUUUCUCUGUGGUCAGGGCAGGAGAAUUUGGACACAUUUUCUUUGUAUUAAAAAAACAAUAGUUCCUCUUCUGUUUAUGGUAGCAUGUCUCAAAGCAUGUCCUUGGACCAUCUGCAUCAGAAUCACUUAGGGUACUUGUUAUAAAUUCAUAUUCCUGAGUCUGCCCCCAGAUAGAUUGAGUUAGAAUGUUUUAGCCUAAGCUCAAAAAUCUGUUUUGGAAGCAAUCUCUCCAGGUGCUUUGUAUGCACAAUAAAGUUUGAGAAGCACUGGCUUAUAAGAUAAAAUCAGAUCUCUUUAGCCUUCUAGUCAGAGGUCUCUAAACAAAUUGGCCACAACCAGAGUUUCUGAGCCCUCUCUUAACCUGCUCCACUGCAUUAUGUCCUGUGGUCAACAGCCUCUAGGUGGCCCUUGUGCUCCCCACCUCUGGGUAUUCAAGCUCUCAUGUCAUUCCCUCCCCUUGAGUGUGGCUGCAUUUACUGACUUUCUUCUACCAGAUAGAAUAUGGUGGAAGUGAUGGGCUGUCACUUUCAAGAUUAGGCUGCACAAAGACUAUGGCUUCUGGCUCAGAGGCCCUCUCUUCCUCAGAAUUCUCAUUUUAUGGCCAAUUCUGAGGGACCCUAGGGGAGAUGCCCUGUGAGGACUCAAGGCCUGUCAACAUCCACAUGAGUGAGCUUGAGGUGGAUCCUCUUCCAGUCAAGCCUUGAGAUGACUGCAGCCCCAGCCAACACCUUGACUGCAGCCUGACGAGCAUCCUUGAGUCAGAAGAUCUAGUUCAACCACAUCUGGAUUGUUGAGCCACAGGAAUGAUGCGAUAAUAAAUGUUGUUUUGAGGUGAUUUGUCAUGCAAGAAUAGAUAUCUAGUACACCCACCUGCGAUAGCCUCCCUCCUCCUUCCCACUUCUCCAAGUCCCGUGUCUUUCAAGCCUCAGCUGUUCUCUGAAAUUUUCCCCUCAGUGAUUGAUCCUUUCAUGAACUCCUAGAGCACUGCACGUGAGUCAGCAACAUGUGCCGUUGUAUAGUAUGUGCUGUCUUGUGUCGUAUUCUUUUGUAGUCUUUAAUUGUAAUUUCUAAUGCUCUGCCUUUUAAAAAUAAAUUGUAAACUCAUUGAUGGGAAUAGAACUGAGAGUAGAACUUGCCUUAGAAUUCUUUUUGUUCCCAUGACCUAUCCUAUUACCAUGAAUUCAAUAAGUGACCUAUAAAAUCAUAUGAUGAAGAUGAUAGUGUAUUGAAAGAAAUAUUGACUAGAAGGCGCUGGGGGAGUUGACUUUUAGUGGUAGUUUUCACACUCAUGUCUACUCUGUGUCCUAAUGCCUGAGUUUUAACCUUGUGUGGAGAGAGGGCUCCAGGCAGAUACUAGAGCAGAACAAAGCACUGGCUACGAGAGCCAGCAGCAAGAAGGCCCUUGCUUGAUGACUAUUAAUGUUUGAUCUUUAAGCCCCCUGCCUAGAAUCUGCUCUGUGGGUUCCUCCGGGCCUUGGCUCCCUAUAGUCCCAGACUUCCUUGGCUCACCCAUUUCAACUUAGGACUUAGGACUCUGUUUUUUAAUUUGUAUUUAGUUGAUUAAUGAUCAACUCAGAAAUCCCCGACUGCCACAAGUAUUUGUCUCCAAGAUUUCCCUCAGCAGCCAGCAGGAAGGAAGCCUGCGUGUCACCUGUUUCUGCCCACCCCCGUGGGUCCCCAGGACUCCUCUGCAGCUAAGGGAAGAUAUAAAACAUUCAAUACCUGAAAUCGUUAUGGAAACAUUCCAGAAAAUGACUCUAUUCAUCCUUCUUUGCAGAGUAAGAGUUAAAGCUAUCUCUAAUAGCUUUGGAAAUUUUGAUUAGGAUGGUAAUGGAAAACCAUCCUUGCUUUAUCUAGUCUGUGCACAAGAGCCCUGUCGCAAUAAAGACAGCGAUGAGCUACGGCACUCGGGACAGUAAAAGUUCUGUUUAUCUCAGCUGUCUCCACAAUGAGAGGGCCUAUUCAGUAGUGAAAGCUAUUAUUUUCAGGCUUUCCUCAGGAGUCAGUGAGAGACAGGUGCAGGGCCCCGUUGGUCUCUCCAUGUAAAUCCUAAAAACUUCUACCCUCUUCAACUGAUGAAGAACCUCCUCUAAACCAACUGCAAAGAUAAGGCCCUUUCCCCAACUCAGCUCCUGGCCUCUCUUGCUGGGUAUUACUGUGGAGGUUACCAGGCGGCCUCAUCUCAGGUGUGGUGCACACUGUAGCCCAACAGACCCUUGGCCACUUCCCCACUCAUGCUCAAUACUUCAGGCACAUAAAAAUACUUGCAGGUUUAAAGGUGUGUUAAGGCAUUCCGUAUGCCCAAUUCUUGCACUGGUUGCUCCUUCUUGCUGGAGAAAGCAUACCUUCCUUCCUUCUCCUCCCCUCCCCACCUUUACCUGAGAGAGGUAUUCCCCUGGAUUCCCUGCCAUGCUGGGUCAUGGCACUUAUCACCUCUAUUAUAAUUGUCUGAUACUAUGUUUCCUGCAUUGGACUUUAGAUUAUUCAGAACAGAAACUGUGUCUAAUUUAUGUUUGCAUUCCCAGUGCCCAGCACAGAGCUUGUCAGUAUUAGCAGUGCAUCGAUAUUUGCUGGUCCAAGCAGGAUUUCUGUCCAGAGCUUUCUGACUCUCAGGUAGCCUAGAGGGCUGGCUGCUCAUCUAGUGAAGGCUGGGAUUAGGAAAGGAUUUGCCAGGAACCCAGGAUAAAACUGGGGAAACCAUGUCUUCUGACCAUUGUCGUAGGUGCAGGGCACUCUGCCACAGCAAGGUAGCUCCUAUCUGGAUAGGACCUGUCUGUCACAGCUUGUGGCUCACUGCCCAGGGGGUAUCACUGCCCAUGUCAUCCACAUGUGAAAGGAGCACUGGCUGUGCAGGUCUAAGAGCCCAUGGUUUUGAAUCUUGCUUUGCAAAGAUCCCAAACUGGUAAGUUUACCAGUAGCAGGGCAAGUUACAUCUCUGAGUCUUGAUUUCCUCAUUUGCAAAUGGGAUAAUUGUAGUUACCCUACAGGCAUGCUGUGAGAUUGAAAUGAGAGAACAUGUGUGAAGCACUUAUUCUUGUGGUGGGCACACAUCUGUAAGCCCACCAUAGCUGCUGGCGUCUUUGUCUCGUCUCUUCUGCUUUAGCGUGGUGGGGUUAGUGACCUGGUCAUAACUCCCUGUCUGAACCACAGUCACCAGGGGAGACACAGAACUUGGCACAGUAAGUUCCUCUGAGGGAGGAGGGGUCUGCUGAGCUACGUUAGGCUGUCUGUAGACUUGGGGAAGCAAAUGAAUAAGCUGAAUGGAGCCAAGUCAGAGACAUAUGGGCUGUAAGGAUGGAAGCCACAUACAAACUAGAGCCUCAGUCUUCUUUGUCCAUAUGGGAUGAAAGAAAAAUAGGAGGACUUUCAAAAGCAAAAAGAUGCCAAGAUCAAAUCAAAUUGACUGGGCUACUAUGUGCCCAGCCCAGUGCCAUUCUCUCUGAUGGUCUCUGCCACUCUGGGGUCUUUGUAUAAAACAUUUAUCCAUAGGAUUGCCUGGACAUUGGUGGGAAAGAGUGCCAGAAAUUCUGAUUUUCUCUCUAAUUAGAAAUUUUGGGACCCAUUUUGCCUUUGAUUUGCAAAUAUAUUCACUCUUUACCCAACCCCUGUAAGUUCUUUGGGAGAGAGAGAGAGAGAGAGAGAGAGAAAUUUAGUGAAGGAAAUGAAGGAAAGCCCUUUCCUUGCUUUAUCUCUCGCUCAUUACCCUCCAACUCCUUGCACAAAGCCUCAGUAGCAGCGAAGUCAGAUGCUGAUGGGUGCCCACGAUUUAUCCCUGUUGAGGCACUCACUUAUCAGCUGCUUACCCUGUUCCUAGUUGCUCUGUUCUCUGGCAUCUCUGCUCUGUCUCCAGCUGGUUGGACAAGCAACCAAAGAACAGGAACAGAGGCAAAAGAAAGAAGAAACUACAUUUGUGUUUUCUCUUGGUCAGGACCUCAGGGGCUGGGCAUCCCGGGACGGCCUUCGGUAAGUAAGUGACUCUUCUCAGUCUAACUGGUUUGGGCUCAGAAUGCUCAGAUGCUGGAAUUACUUCUGUGUCUCUGAUUUGUUUUACUGAAAUGUCUGGGCCUCACUGGUUGUUUUAAAGCAAACACAAGAAUUUUUUGGAAAUCAGUGAGGAAUUUCAAUGGGUGUCAAGGAAAAUCACAGUGUCAUUUGUCUCUAAAAGGAUUCUGGCUGCCAAUGUUCCAUCUGCAAAUCACUUACCCAGCUGUGUGGCACUGAAUGAAGCAGCUGCUGAACAAAACAGCAUAGAGACAAGCUGGGACUUUUUUGAGUUGUAAUUCUGCUUCUGUUACUGACUUGGGACUCUGGGAUGUAAAUAAAUAAAACUUUUCAUAUUUAGUCUCAGCUCAGGGUCUAAUUCCUUUAGGAUAUUUUCCCAGCUCCCAUCACCCAACUCGUCCUGGAAUCUAAAUAGCCUAAUUUCCAUCUGUACUUUUUUCCCGGAACACUCCCAUAAUCACUACAACCAACCAUCUCUCUCUUGCUCCCACGUGUGUCUGAUCUGGCUCCUCUAUGAGACUAUCAGCCCCACCAGGGCACGAGCUCCACACUGGGAGAGAGCUUGUAUUACUUGCCUUGGUAUCCUUGGUAUUGGCAUGGCACCUGGCACAUAGUAGAUGCACAAUAUACACUGGUGAAUACAAAAAGGAACCAUGCUGAUUCCACAUGCUGAGGCUUAUGGAUAUUUGAUGAACACUUGCUAACUAGUUUAACCUUCCUGCUCACCUUUUCUUCUAUGACUGUCCUUCAAGGAUUGCAUGGGGAGAUCAGAGGGCUCCCAGGUAGAUGAUGAGGUGGUCAGGAGAGAGACUCUCAAAUAUGCCAUCAGCUCCACCACACUUUUGUGUUGAUCCAUAUGCACCACUACCAGGACACUUGCCCGUGGGCAGAGCUCACCAGUCAAUGCAUAGUUUUGUGAUGACUUUGUUCUUCUUCCCUGAAACUUUCCUUUACCUUCCAUGACAGCUGGUUUGGAGAAAGAAGAGAGAUGAUUUCUCUCACUGAGACUCUUAGUAUAGACUAAUGAAUGACGGAAUCAGAGACCUGACACAUUUUCCUAUUGUACAUGACAUGGCCUUGGUCUUUGAAGUCUGGCUCUGGGGAGGAAUUUCUGAAUUGUUCCUUACUGGCAGAGUACAAUGGGGUUACCAGAGUUGUCCGUGUCCUUUAGGAAACCUGAGCUCCCCAAUUUGGGGGACGUGUCAAUGACCGUGAGGGGCCCUGGGGAAGACUAAGGCCAGGAGGAAUAGAGACUUACACUCUUCAAACACUCGCUGGGUCUGUGCCUGUCCUAUGGGGGUUAAGACUUUGAACUGUGACCCCAAAACCAAAUUUUACAAAGGACCCCUCCCAAAUUCUUUUUUUUUUUUGCAGUAAAAAUAAGUUAUUCCUUUCCUCAAAGGAGUUGAAGGUAAGGGAAGGGUGGGUCAGAAGAAAUCUCCCCUCAAAGCUCCCAAAUUCUUUAUCCCAAGAAAAGCCUCCUGUUUUGUGUUAUUCUAUGCCCUUGAAGGGCUGUUCUUGUGGGGCACCGGGCUGAUAAGUCCAUCUGUUGGCUGCAAAUGAGAAAGCAGGCAAGACAGUGGGGGACUAGGGUUUCCACCGAUGAAUAAACACAGUAACGGAAGCAGCAGGGACCCCGCAUCUCCAGAAGAGAAAGUAGAGAAGCCAGAUCUCACCCCUCCAUCUCGGCUCAGCAGUUCACACCAAGGAGCUUCCAGGGAAGAGCCCUUGAAAACGCAGGGGCUGAUGUGGAUGUCUCUGUAGAGCCUAUUUGCUCUGGAGUCUUGGACUGAUACCCAUUUGACAGUUUUUCAGGAUGCCAUAAGCUCUAGGAUAUGCAGUGAAGUAGGCACAAAACCCAGCAUUCAAGAGUCUCCACCCUUAAGGAUCUUGUCAGAGAAGGAGGUCCCCGUACCCCAAGGACUCUGCUCCAGCUGUUGUCUCCUUGACUCAGAAGACAACAGGAUACAAAGGUGAAUCUUUGAGGACCCCAUUGAUUGACCUGCAAUGGAUUUCUUGCCUUUCUCAAUAUUAGCAUCCAUUCAUUGAUAGAUAUGUUCAUUCAUUCAAGAAACCUAUAUUGUGCUGGCCCUGGGGUAGCAGAGAGAAAAACCUCAGACUGGAUCAGCUGAGCUGUGCCUAUGGCCCUUUCAUGGAACUACAGAGGAGGACCUCCCCCUCGUCUCUCCUGCUGCAGGCCCCGGGGAUGCUAAUGUGAUCGCCAUCAGAGCUCAGAAGUACGGAGCAGAAUCGUCCCUUGGAGGAGGAUUCCCUGUAGCAUAAGAAGUUCUUACAGAAUUAAUCCUCAAAAUCCUUUGGUGGACUCUACCAGGUUUUUCUCUGGAGUUACUAGAAGAGAUGAAGGGCCCCCCAGUAUGUGAAGAUGUCCUUGUAGUGACAGCACAUACUUCGGGCCUUGUGGCUAAGUGUGCUCCCAUCCCACCAGUAAGAUCACAGCGGAUCCUGGGAGGCAAGAGCUUACACAGUCCCCCGAAAGUGCCCGUGUAGAUUCCAAAUGGAAUCAUGACACGCUGCCCUGGAAAUGAAGUGGAACGUACCAUAAACUCAGAAGCAGUGUUCGUUUUUGAGACACUCGCCAAAACUAGAGAGAAUGUAGCUAAGAAAAUGCAGCAUUUAAGGGGGACCCGGACUCUCAGAGUCUUUGAGCAAUUUUGUGGAAGUAGAAAUUUGGAAGAGAUCUUUGCUCCACUAUUGUGUGCUGCAGCCCUGCCGCCCCCGCCUCCUGCCUGCUCGCCCCCCACGCCAUUACUCCUGAUUCUCUCUGAUGAGCCUGUGUCGUCUGGAAAACGAGUUGCUUGGGCACCCCUGGGAACUGUGGCAGCUCUGGGCGGAACCAGGGAAGGGGCAUGUCAAAUGUCACUUAUUUGUGGCCUUGUCUUCUGGAGGUCAGAUGCAAGAACAAAUUUCUCAUGGGUUUCACGCUAACGCAUUUCCAAUUUAUCUGCCGUCUGAGAUUCACUUUGGCUAGACAAAUACCCGGUGGGCUUCUACCUCUCCCGCUCUUUCUUGCUAAUGUAAAAUAAGCUCAUUGGAAUGAAUAAAGGGAAUGGUAUUACUUUGGCUCAAACACUAAUGAGCGCUUUCACUUUGUCAUAGUGUAAAUAUUAAAGUUACAAGAGACAGCCCAGGGACCAACUAAUUCUUUUAAAGACCCAAAGUGCCUGCAUAGGGUCUAAAAUUGUACACUGAGGAACUACGUCUUCAUUCGGCACUGGGACUCCCAGGCUCCCUAAAAGCAAAGUCCGCAGGUGCUACCAGGGGCCAACCAGGAUGGAGCGCCUCACAGACCCCUGUGAUGUUCGAGCAGGAAAACUUAGCAGUCUUUUAGUCUACCCAUCAUUUGAUGGUGGGAGACUGAGAUUCAGAAAGUGCUCAGAGCUCAUAAUCAGCGAAGCAAGGGACCAUGAUUAGAAUGCAAGCUGGACGCCCUCCAGUUGCAUCCUUGUCUCACUCUCCCUCUUACGAGGAAAGGACAGUGAUUCCUUGAUUGCCAGAGCAGGAUAUAUUUUCAGUUUUUAGGAUAAUUUUAUUCGCCCGAAGAGCAUCUUUGUCACAUCUUUUCCUGGUCCUUCCUUAAGGAGUAUACAAUGUUUACCUACUGGUAGAUUUGUUCUAGUGGGCCUGGGACAAAUCUUAUCAAAACAUCUGCAAUGAUUCCAUUUUGUUCUGAAAUUACUGGUAAAGCAUUUCUUCUGUUUUAUUGGUCAUUUUUAAGGGGGCAGAAACCCAGGAUUAAUUGCUAUGACUACACGUCGUGCUCACCUUUGAUUCACCCCAUUCCAAUCCUCAGGACCUGGCAGGAGUGCUUGGUAUAAAUAGGUAUUGAGACUUACUGAGUUCACUUGACUUUUUUGAGGACAGUGCCAACAUAACUCUGUGUUCCAUUUAGAUUGCUUCCACUGUUCCCCAGUGGUAGGCAUCCUCUUCCUCAGGAUUUAGAAACAAAGUAUUAUUUCAGUUUUGAAUAAAAGUGGCUCAAGGAACAGAUUAUGUUUGUAGCUUGUGCUGUUGGACAGAAACAAUAAAGAGCUUUCAUUUAAGUCUGGUACAGUUUAAUUCAGAAAAAAGUUAAAGGCAGUUAUAUUUUACAUAAUAAGCAGAUUUUAGGAACUCCUUAUUCCAGGGGUAGAGUAUAUGAAUGUGUGUUCUAGCAAAAUGUAGACAAAUUUAUUUGUCUAGACAACCCACUUUAAGGGAAACUAGGAAUGUUUUCAGGGCAAAUAACAUAGUAUUUAAGAGAUGCUUUUUUAUGAGGUCAUUUUUCUCAUUAUAAAAGUAUGUUCUUAUUGAAGGAAAAAUUGUGAUUUAUAUACAAUUAUAAAAAUAAGAUGAAGAAGGAAAUCAUCUAUGAUUCGACUACCCAGAGACAACAAUGAUAUCAUUUUGGUAUAUUCCUUCCAGUCUAUGGUCUUAAGUAUAUUUUCUUACAUUGUUGAGCAUAUUGUAUAUUCACUUUUCUGUUAACCUUUUUUCCCAUUUAUAUCAGAUCAAGAUAUUUUUCCCAUGUGAUUCAAAACUCUUCAAAAUCCAAUAUUAACAUCAUAAAGUUAAUAGUAAAUUUAUAUGACAUAAUGCACUUAAAGCGCUUAGAAAUGUGCUAGUCGCAAAUCUCCAGUAAAGGUGGAUUUUGUUAUUUGCAUCUGUAUAUGAAUGCAGGUGUAUGAGGGUAGAAAAGAAAACUUAAAAAAUUCUAAAUUAGUAAUAUAUUAAUGCAUUCUUGUUAUAAAAAUUAAAAUAUUGCAAUUAAAAUAAAAAUCUCUGUUGACUGUCCUCCUUUCCCCUUAUAUAAUUCGCCCUUCCAGAGAUUACUAUUAUAAUAAUGGGGAAUUCAUCAAUAUACUUACAGUCCCUUUACUGUGUAAUAUUUAGGGUAUAUAUUGUACAAGUAUUUUUAUUAACAUAAAUAGCAUCAGACUCUAUGUUUUGUUCUGCAACUUACUUUUUUCACUCAAUAAUGCAUUUUGGAGAUCUUUUCCUGUUCUUAUGUACAGAUUCACUUCAUUUAACUAUAUGGAAUGUAGACUUACCAUAAUGUAUUAUACUAUUUUUUGCUAUAUGAUUUUGUUCCUUCCAGGAUUUUCUGACCCUAAAUUGCUGCAAUGAACUUGUACAUGCUUUCUUUUACUAUAAGGGCAAUGUUAAGACUGAGACCUUGUAACUGCUGAUUCAUAGAAUAUAUUCUUUUCCAAUAUUAAUAUUUACUCACAUAUACUUUUAUGUUGUGAUAGAAAAGAUAUCUUAGCCU
Microcebus murinus (gray mouse lemur) is the source of this 12332-nucleotide non-coding RNA. The record is from RefSeq and is a predicted model, not a curated record. Lineage: Eukaryota; Metazoa; Chordata; Mammalia; Primates; Cheirogaleidae.